This 636-nucleotide long non-coding RNA is filed under the name Mytilus galloprovincialis (Mediterranean mussel). The record is from RNAcentral. Lineage: Eukaryota; Metazoa; Mollusca; Bivalvia; Mytilida; Mytilidae.
AUUAAUGCUGUACACAUUUUAUUUGCAGCUAUGCUUUUCUGAAAUAUCAUUAUUUAUAUCGGACAGAUAAUCAAACAUGUAAAUUGCAAUGGAUUUAUUUUGGGCAUUCUUUUUAUAGUAUAACAAAAGGGUCUUUUACUACUACCUUGUUAAGUUCAAGGAUGAUAGUGGUCAUCAACCUUGACAUUUAAGCUUGUAUAGCGUAAUGGCACAGCGUUUAUAGCUCUCAAAUGGAAAGGAGAUAAUUGUCUUGUGGGAGAGAAACGAAGCUAUGGUUAUUAAGUCGCUAUAUACUGUUUUACGUUUUAUGUACGAAAUCUUACGAUGUUAAAUACACCCCAACACUAAAUUAAGUAAUCAGAAUUUAAAUUAGCUUUAAUAUAUCUCUCUUUAUACGAAACCAUAACAAAAUGACCUUUAUAAUACUAACGAGUCUGUUUACACACAAGACUUACACUACAAGUAUUGAAAAGUAGCAAACAAAUUGCAUAAUACUCCCCUGACCCAAUUUUAAGUUGUUUUUUUUAAAACGAAAUAUAAACCAUAAACCUUUCUUUUAAAUGUAUGAAUUUGUCUUAUUUUUACUGAUUAAAAGUGGAAUAAUCAAUGUUAAUGUUUUCACGAUUAACCUGCGAA